Molecule: long non-coding RNA, 2205 nt
Organism: Cavia porcellus (domestic guinea pig)
Lineage: Eukaryota; Metazoa; Chordata; Mammalia; Rodentia; Caviidae
Exons: 5
Source: RefSeq, a predicted model, not a curated record
GGGGAAAGACCUUGGGGAUUGCAGCAGAAGUCUGAACUCAGGGAGGAGAUGAUUCAUGCAGGGUGGAGCUCAAAGAGCAGGCAGCAGAGCAACCCCGACAGCUGACGCAGCUGGGAAGAGUGGCCAGGGUCAGCAGGGCAGGGGCAGCCCCACUGCUGGGGAAUGGAGGAUCACAUCGGGAUGAAUGUGCAAUGAACAUUCCUCAGCAGGGGCUGAGCUGUGGCCCGGGCACAGCCAGUGGCUUCCCCAGAGACUCUGGAGCACAGAAGAAACACAGGCCUUGGUCUUCCGUGGAGGCUGGAGGUGAAUCUGAACCCAGUGAGGGCUGGUGAGGUGCCUCCAGAUGUCCCCAGAUGUCCCAGAGCCUGCAGAAUCCCUUGUGCUAUCUCAUCUCCUUUCCUGUGCUUGCUGAUGAUGACUUUGGUGCUGAGCUAAGUUCCCACAGACGGUAGCAUUUCUGCUGUGCUUUCUUUAGAACAUCAGGAACCUGGACAGUCUCCCAACCCAGUAACAAGAAUGCACCUAUGAAAACCAACAGGACUCACCCCCGGGAAUUACCUCUCUAAAGGCCCUGUCUUCAAAUGCAGUCGUGCUCAAGGAACAGAGGUGCUCCGAUGCUCCUGGUCCUGAGGCCACCAGACUUCUCUGCUAGGGUUGGAGCCACCAUGAGACCCUGAGUUCAUAGAACAGCUGGGCUCCAUCAGGGCUUCGCCCCAGACACAGCUCCAGGCCCCCUUGGUGGGACCUCCUUGGUGGGGCCUGGCCACAGUGGACAGAUUUCCCAACACUGGCCAACACCCUUAUGGACUUCCAAAUUGGAUCAGGGCCUGGAAAUUUCUUCUGUGCUGCCUGGCUCCACCAGGGCCGCCUGAUUCAGGCAGCUGCCUGAGUCAUUCUGGAUUCCGUCCCUCUGCCUUCACUUUCUGGGCCCUGGAUGCUGGAGCUGCCCUCCCAGGAGGGACACAAGUGCAGAGGCCUCUCUUCCAUGGUGUGUGAUGGCUCAGGUUGGAUGUGAUGUGCUUCUGGAUUUGAAGUCAUUAUCAGGACUUCACACUAUAGAUCAGAUGUCUAUUUUUCUUCUCCACUGCUGUCCUGAUAUUCGCUCAGUAACAGAUCACCUUCCCUGUCCACAGUCUAUGGCGUGAAGGAGUGAGAAUCCCAGCUAUGAGCAGUUGUUGAACGCUUGAAAACCAGCUCUCCAAAUCCUAGAGCUUUAGUACACCAAGCAAGGGAGAGUAUCUCCUUAAUAAUAGUUUGAUUGAUCACAUGCUGAAAUAUUACCAUUUUUGAUACUUUGGGUUUAGUCAAAUUUAGUAAAACUUUGGUUUGGGAGCAUGAAUUGUUCUGGGAACAUGCUUAUAAUUCAAAGUACUUGUCUACCAAAGCGAAUUUCCCCAUAAGAAAUAACAGAAACUCAGAUAAUUCAUUCUACAACCCAAAAAUAUUCAUAUAAAAAUGAUUACAAUACUGUAAGAGUACAAAAUAAAGAAAGUAUAAAAUAUACAGAAAAGUAAAUAUAUUAACUUGCACUCACCUUUGAAAACCCUCAUGGCUGGUGUGAGGGAGUCAAGAGAAAGGAGGGUUACUGCAUGGGACGACUUUCACUAUUGCAAAUGGAAUCACUACCUAUUGGCGGCUCAGUGGAACCCUUUUCUGGUUGUGCAGCUUUAACAAGGAACCCAUCCAAUGAUGCUUCUGCCUCCUUUGGAGGAUUUCAUGGAAAUCUGACUUUGCAUUGUCAUUAAACAGACUCACUGCUGGCACUGUUGGUCUUAUUUGAGUGAUGCUUUCCUACAGAAUUUUGCAGUGUUCCCCACAUUUUACAUGUCUUCCAGUUUUGCACUAUUUCCAACAUUUUACACAUCUCCCUAUCUUCCUCUGUAUAUGAGAUCUGCUCCUUAAACUCCUACUGCUAGGAGCAAUGAUAAUCCUGCAGUACAGGGGGAUGGAGGGGCAGAGGAAACCAUUAGAGAAGUUGUGAUCAUGUGACAUUCACCUGCUGCUAGUAUUGUAAGACAUGGCUUGUCUAUCAAGUUCAAAUUUAUUAUAAAUGUUUACUGGUCUUGUGAAACAUUCGCAGAACAAGUUACAGUCCAAGAUUUUACUGUACAUAUUAAAAUUAGAUUUAUCUAUUGUUUUUUUUACUGUUGUUAAAUGUUAAAUGUGACAUUUAAAAGGAAAUAAAAUUCCAUAAGUGGCUGUCUA